Molecule: ribosomal RNA, 791 nt
Filed under: uncultured bacterium
Lineage: Bacteria
Description: bacterial SSU rRNA
Rfam family: Bacterial small subunit ribosomal RNA
Source: RNAcentral
AGAGUUUGAUCAUGGCUCAGAUUGAACGCUGGCGGAAUGCUUUACACAUGCAAGUCGAGCGGCAGCGCGGGGCAACCUGGCGGCGAGCGGCGAACGGGUGAGUAAUGCAUCGGAACGUGUCCAUGUCGUGGGGGAUAGCCCGGCGAAAGCCGGAUUAAUACCGCAUACGCCCGAGAGGGGAAAGUGGGGGACCGCAAGCCUCACGCGAUUGGAUCGGCCGAUGUCCGACUAGCUAGUUGGCGGGGUAAAGGCCCACCAAGGCGAUGAUCGGUAGCUGGUCUGAGAGGAUGAUCAGCCACACUGGGACUGAGACACGGCCCAGACUCCUACGGGAGGCAGCAGUGGGGAAUUUUGGACAAUGGGGGCAACCCUGAUCCAGCCAUUCCACGUGAGUGAAGAGGGCCUUCGGGUUGUAAAGCUCUUUUGUCCGGAACGAAACGGGCGACGUGAAUAUCGUCGUCUACUGACGGUACCGGAAGAAUAAGCACCGGCUAACUACGUGCCAGCAGCCGCGGUAAUACGUAGGGUGCGAGCGUUAAUCGGAAUUACUGGGCGUAAAGCGUGCGCAGGCGGUUUUGUAAGCCGGAUGUGAAAUCCCCGGGCUUAACCUGGGAAUGGCAUUCGGGACUGCAAGGCUGGAGUGCGGCAGAGGAGACUGGAAUUCCUGGUGUAGCAGUGAAAUGCGUAGAUAUCAGGAGGAACACCGAUGGCGAAGGCAGGUCUCUGGGCUGACACUGACGCUCAUGCACGAAAGCGUGGGGAGCAAACAGGAUUAGAUACCCUAGUAGUCC